GCACGACCUGGGUGACAUCGCCGGAGGAUCCGAUACUGAAGUACAAGUGGAGGAAGCAACAGACGGGGAUGGAUCAUCUCUCCAGCCGCUGGAGAGACCUCCACCUCGCAGAUGGUGGUACAGCCGAUGGGGAGCGACAGCAGGCAAGACCCUGACAUAAGGCUCUGCGUCGAAGGCUAUGCUUUGGUGGAAGACGACGACGGUGCUUGACGAUUGGCCGAUGGUGCUCGCUUCUUUCUUCAGAUCCAUUGCUGAUUCUCAAAGACUCGCGCACAGGUCGACGCCUUCGCUGGUAGCUACUGCUGGGGAGAAGAUGGUGGAAAACGCAAGCAGAUGUUGCUACUAAUUAAGAUAGAGAUGUUGUGAUGCCACCUUCAUUGGCCGUGAUGCUCAGAAUUCCAUGUUCGCUGCUGGUGGUCUCUGAUCCUGACAUUUAGCCGUGCAUGAUUCUUCAUUUACAAAAAAACACUAAUAUAGUGACGCCAAUUAUACUGCUGAUCUCCAAGUCCCCCACCGCACCGCACAAGCUGACGUCUUCUCUGGUAUGUACAGAUCGAACGAACCUCCCUCUGUUUGUUCUCUACCCUCUGAUUUCUCACGUGCUACUCCAUUGACUGAUCUGUUAUUUCUUACAAAGACUUGCUAUAUGCACUGUGAUAUUUAUUACAUGUAGGCUGAAGUCUCCAAAACAGAGACUUGUUGAACUUCAAUGCGCCCUUGGGGAAUCUCGCCAUUGCUUAGCCGAAAAAGGCUUUCGCCCCGCUUUAUAUAUAAAGCAAAGAUCCACAUCAUCCGAUACAAAUGCACACCAACACCACACCCACCCAAGGCAGGAUACAAAAGCACUGAGCGCAGCAACACCACCCCUAGCACACUACCACGAAGAGAUGAAGCCGCAUACAACGGACCGUGGACUCCAAGCCGGUGCCUUCAGGAAGGAUACGACACCGGAGCGCCGCCACAGCCCGAUCCGAGGAUCAGAGUU
Long non-coding RNA from Triticum dicoccoides, 985 nucleotides. RefSeq lists it as uncharacterized. NCBI's taxonomy places the organism in Eukaryota, Viridiplantae, Streptophyta, Magnoliopsida, Poales, Poaceae. The transcript has 3 exons. The record is from RefSeq and is a predicted model, not a curated record.